Molecule: ribosomal RNA, 494 nt
Filed under: uncultured bacterium
Lineage: Bacteria
Description: bacterial SSU rRNA
Rfam family: Bacterial small subunit ribosomal RNA
Source: RNAcentral
GAUCCUGGCUCAGAUUGAACGCUGCGGCAUGCCUUACACAUGCAAGUCGAACGGUAACAGGUCUUCGGAUGCUGACGAGUGGCGAACGGGUGAGUAAUACAUCGGAACGUGCCCGAUCGUGGGGGAUAACGAAGCGAAAGCUUUGCUAAUACCGCAUAAGAUCUAAGGAUGAAAGCAGGGGACCGCAAGGCCUUGCGCGAACGGAGCGGCCGAUGGCAGAUUAGGUAGUUGGUGGGAUAAAAGCUUACCAAGCCGACGAUCUGUAGCUGGUCUGAGAGGACGACCAGCCACACUGGGACUGAGACACGGCCCAGACUCCUACGGGAGGCAGCAGUGGGGAAUUUUGGACAAUGGGCGCAAGCCUGAUCCAGCCAUGCCGCGUGCAGGAUGAAGGCCUUCGGGUUGUAAACUGCUUUUGUACGGAACGAAAAGACUCUGGUUAAUACCUGGGGUUCAUGACGGUACCGUAAGAAUAAGCACCGGCUAACUACGUG